GGCUCCGAGGGACGGCGGUAGCAGUAAUGCCCGCGAGGUUUGCAUUUAGACCUUGACACCCCUAUCGGAGCCUA
RNAcentral lists this non-coding RNA (74 nucleotides) under unclassified sequences. The record is from RNAcentral.